Molecule: ribosomal RNA, 584 nt
Filed under: uncultured bacterium
Lineage: Bacteria
Description: partial 16S ribosomal RNA
Rfam family: Bacterial small subunit ribosomal RNA
Source: RNAcentral
UGGGGAAUUUUGGACAAUGGGCGAAAGCCUGAUCCAGCAAUGCCGCGUGUGUGAAGAAGGCCUUCGGGUUGUAAAGCACUUUUGUCCGGAAAGAAAUCCUUGGCUCUAAUACAGUCGGGGGAUGACGGUACCGGAAGAAUAAGCACCGGCUAACUACGUGCCAGCAGCCGCGGUAAUACGUAGGGUGCAAGCGUUAAUCGGAAUUACUGGGCGUAAAGCGUGCGCAGGCGGUUUGCUAAGACCGAUGUGAAAUCCCCGGGCUCAACCUGGGAACUGCAUUGGUGACUGGCAGGCUAGAGUAUGGCAGAGGGGGGUAGAAUUCCACGUGUAGCAGUGAAAUGCGUAGAGAUGUGGAGGAAUACCGAUGGCGAAGGCAGCCCCCUGGGCAAUACUGACGCUCAUGCACGAAAGCGUGGGGAGCAAACAGGAUUAGAUACCCUGGUAGUCCACGCCCUAAACGAUGUCAACUAGUUGUUGGGGAUUCAUUUCCUUAGUAACGUAGCUAACGCGUGAAGUUGACCGCCUGGGGAGUACGGUCGCAAGAUUAAAACUUAAAUGAAUUGACGGGGUCAUAGCUGUUUCCU